ACAUUCGUGGUAUCUGACCACUGUCUGCAGCAUGCCUUCAGUCUGCACCAUAGUCUUUGCUCCAAUCUCCUACUAGCCUACCAGAGCCUCUUUGGCUACUUCACCUCUAUUACCAAGGACCUGCCUUCCUCCCAUCGUAUGGAAUUAGCCAAGCCCAGCAUGCAAGUCCUAUAUGAGAGAGUACUCAGAAGACCAUAUCCCCGAAGUCAAAGGCACGUCUACAUAGAGCAACUCGACUUAGAGGCCCGGCUAGCUGAGUUAUGUGAACAAGUCAAGGUAAGUCCCAUUGAAUGCUGCUAUUUUCUGUCUGAUAAAUGUCC
Long non-coding RNA from Micropterus dolomieu (smallmouth bass), 320 nucleotides. RefSeq lists it as uncharacterized. Lineage: Eukaryota; Metazoa; Chordata; Actinopteri; Centrarchiformes; Centrarchidae. The record is from RefSeq and is a predicted model, not a curated record. The transcript has 3 exons.